AUAACGGUCCCAAGGUAGCAAAUUUCCUUGUCGUUUAAGUAACGACCUGCAUGAAGGAUGGAACGAAUCGAUAGCUCUCUUGCGUAGGUGUGGUGGUGAAAUAUUAGGUGGUGUGAAGAUACUCCAACAACGUUAAGGGACAAAAAGACCCUGUGAACCUUUAUAGGGAUAAAAUUUAGUAGGGGUUCU
This 189-nucleotide ribosomal RNA is filed under the name Heterocapsa arctica. RNAcentral's name for it is "partial Bacterial large subunit ribosomal RNA". It matches the Rfam family "Bacterial large subunit ribosomal RNA", at positions 1942 to 2131 of the family's 2925-position model. Lineage: Eukaryota; Dinophyceae; Peridiniales; Heterocapsaceae. The record is from RNAcentral.